ACUUUUAAAGGAUAGAAGCAAUCCAAUGGUUUUA
This 34-nucleotide transfer RNA is filed under the name Emydura macquarii krefftii (Krefft's turtle). Its description in RNAcentral is "partial tRNA-Leu". The record is from RNAcentral. RNAcentral also lists the same sequence under 1 other name. Lineage: Eukaryota; Metazoa; Chordata; Testudines; Chelidae.